UCUGCCGUGACCGGUUGGGGUGAGAGAAGGAAGACAGUGAGAACCUGUAAAAUCACACACUCAUAUCACAGAUGAAGAGCUCAGCAAUGUCAUUUCUGCUUCUUCUUCCUUCUGCUUCAUAUGUUUCACGUAUCAGAUAAUAGUGUUCAUGCCAGCUGACACAGUUUAUUAAAUCUUGUGAAGACAGUCUUUUAAAAACAAUCUCAGCUCUCAUUAAUGACUCCUGAUGAUGAUCUAUUAAAAUAAUUAUCUUGUCUUCAGAGCUGUUCACUCGCACAUUUAGGAAGCAGGAAUGCACUGAGUCAUGUUCUCUUUGUACCGGCGUGAUCAUCAGGAUCAGGAUGAUUUCCUGUUUUAUGGCACUCUGAGAGUUCUCAGUCAGAAAUUCACCUAAAUGAUCUGCAGUCGUGCAGCUCGAGCCGCCAGCAGCAGGCUGUAAUGGCUGCUGUUGACGGCGGUACUGGCAUGCUCGAGCUCUGAAUUGGAUUCAUCCGCAAACACAAAGUGACGGAUGGCGUUCCGCAGGGCUCUGUGCCGGGAAAUGUACUACAGAGACAUCCUGCCUCAGAGUGAUGCUAGAAGUGAAUUAACCUUGAAUAAUCAGGCCCAAUCUUAUCUCAAUCACCCCAGAGCACUUCACUCUCACGCUGCAGUUUGGAUUCAGAAACUGCUUCAUAUUUCCUUCUUAAAGCUCAGCUGAUCUCCUCUAUGAUUGCUCUGAUUGUGUUUUUCUUCCCCGCUGUCGACAAGUGCUGUUCAACAGGGAAUUGGUGGCUUGAUAUCAGGUCUUGACCUUAGUAGUAAACGUGCUCUGAGAAGAUUUGAUUAUGAUGUGUCGCUAAAUGAAUAAAACUGGAUUAAGCUUGACGUGGACAGAAUUUUAAAGUGCAAAAAGGAAACGAGCUUUUAGCUUUCCUAUUUGUGAAAAAAGAAUAACAGUGCUUUGCAUUCAUUAUGAGCUGUUAUUUCACUGUUUUUAUAACAGAAAAAAUACAAAUGUUCGUUGUAUAAUGUGUGUGUGUGGUGACUUGAAAUUCCUCACCAGUUAAAAAGGCAAAGCUGUUAAAAGCACCCCUGUUUUGUUCCAGGUACAUGUAAAAUAACUGUAUCUAAACUUCUACAGAAAGCCGUGUUAAAUAUUUGGGAGCCUUUGUAAACCUAGCUAACUCGCUACGUGCUUGUCUUCCUGCCACCUAACAGACAGUCAAACAUAUGGAGGAAGGAAGGAAGGCUUACCCCGACUCUGUGUUUCUGUCUGUCAUGCAGUCUGAUCACAGAGCAGAAGGAGAGCGGUGGCCAACUGUAAUGUGGAUUAAGGUCCUGAAAGAGUGUGUGCCACUCGCCAAGGCCCCGCUGUUCCAGCAUGACGAGCUUAAAGUCAAAGCCCUGCAGCCAAACUAUAUCUGUUUGAGCAGAAGGUUCAUCCUUUCAAACCUCCCAUCUUCCUAAAUUAGGGUGAUGAGUGAGGUGCCGGCUCAGCGAUUAAUGCCACCUAAUCUCAUUAAACACCUUAAAGCCAACAGUGAAUAUUAUCAUUUCCCAGCACAUUUGUGUUUCUUUUUCUUUUUGCCAUGUAUGUAGCAGGAUCUGAUGAAAGGGAAGGGUAGCGUUUGUUUUCAGCUCAACCACAGAAACACAAUCCUCUUGCAGCACUGUUGAUAUCUUUUUUUCCCAAAUAGCCAGAAAAGUCAGCUCAUAAUGCACCGCAUUAUUCUGCAGCUCAGAAUCCCCAAAUAUACAGUCUGCUUUAUUCUGCAAAAACACUUGAUUCAGUUUUCUGAUUGCAGUAUCGGCAGAUCACUAACUUUAAGUCUUCUGCUGCUAGUUCGACUGUUACACAGCAAACGCUUUGCUGUGUCAAGCCUCCUGCGCACUUUUGGGUCAUCCUUCAGGACCAAUAAAAAGAAGCCAAGACCUGCAGUUCCUCUGACGGCCAGCAGAGGCAGCAGUGAGUCAGUCCCCAUAGACUCCCAUGUUAAAAUAAACAUGUUUACAGACUGAUACACAAACUGAUUGGCCUCUGUAGAUAAUUACCUCCUUCAUAACACCUGUACGGGGGAGGAUAGCUCAUGUGGUUUUUAUAAUUAACCUGGAUUAAAAUUUGUAUUAUUAGUGGGUGUGGCCUCUGUGACUGACAGGUGAAGCCCUGAACUGGACCUCUGUACCGUGUUUGUGCUGUUUGACCCUUUUGGAGCAUUUUUAAUGACAUCAUGUGACCAAUGAUAUGGCUGCUGUGUGGUCACUGUACUAACUGACUGUCCAAGAAGGCGGAGCUCCAGUUUUGGUGCUUUACCUGGAUCUUCGUUACAGUGUAACUGCUUAUGAAACUGUUACACGUUAAAAUAAAACCUCUUUCCUGUUUUCCUAAUACACUGCUGCUAAAUCUAAUAUGUUCAUGGCUGCUGACGUCUGACGGUAACGAUUUCUUUCUGGAGUGUUUUUGUGUGUUUUCAGGCACAUGCAGCACUCGAGUGACCCCCCAGCAGUGACCCCCCCCUCCUGCCCUCAUGUGCAUUCUGCUUCUCCUUCAAAGUCUCAUCGAGCCGCUGUCCAUCCUCCCUCCCACCUCCUCCUGAUCCUCUCCGCUCUUAGUCAGACACUUGACCCUGUUACCCACAUCAGGAUAAUCGUGCACAUUGGUCUCUGUUAUUCUUCACCCCCCCCCACAAACCAGAUGACGCUACUCAACAAGGGACAGCUUAAGGUCUCAGAAAGACUUUUAAAGACGCCGAUUGAACAGAGACAUGAGGAAAAAAGGCAUGGAGCUCAUGAAAUCCUGGAUGGAAAUCAGUGGAAGAAGGCCGUGAUGCCAGACAUGGCGAUCGUCCCGACCUUCCUGCCAGUCGUGUUUUUGUACAGUUUCACAGCUGUUUGAGCUGCGGCGGGUAUAUCCGUUCAUCAUCGCAGAAAACGUUCUUACCGGAUCCGUAACGUGAAGCAGCAUGAUGCUUGUUCAGGGCUGUGGUGGGAGCGAUAUUUUGAUAUAUUUAUGCACACCUGGGACGGGCUCCAGCUCCCCCCGUGACCCUGAAUUAGAUAAGUGGAAAAAAAUGUCUCCUUUUUCCUUUCAGGGCAAAAGCUGGAACACUCUAGUCUAUAGAUGAGAAAUGAGGUUUCACAGUUGAUGAAAUAAUUAAUAAUAAACUCUUUUUGAGGUGA
Long non-coding RNA from Oreochromis niloticus (Nile tilapia), 3159 nucleotides. RefSeq lists it as uncharacterized. The transcript is spliced from 2 exons. Lineage: Eukaryota; Metazoa; Chordata; Actinopteri; Cichliformes; Cichlidae. The record is from RefSeq and is a predicted model, not a curated record.